UGGGGAAUAUUGCACAAUGGGCGCAAGCCUGAUGCAGCGACGCCGCGUGAGGGAUGACGGCCUUCGGGUUGUAAACCUCUUUCAGCAGGGAAGAAGCGCAAGUGACGGUACCUGCAGAAGAAGCGCCGGCUAACUACGUGCCAGCAGCCGCGGUAAUACGUAGGGCGCAAGCGUUGUCCGGAAUUAUUGGGCGUAAAGAGCUCGUAGGCGGUUUGUCGCGUCUGCUGUGAAAUCCCGAGGCUCAACCUCGGGCUUGCAGUGGGUACGGGCAGACUAGAGUGCGGUAGGGGAGACUGGAAUUCCUGGUGUAGCGGUGGAAUGCGCAGAUAUCAGGAGGAACACCGAUGGCGAAGGCAGGUCUCUGGGCCGCAACUGACGCUGAGGAGCGAAAGCAUGGGGAGCGAACA
RNAcentral lists this ribosomal RNA (407 nucleotides) under uncultured Cellulomonas sp. RNAcentral describes it as "bacterial SSU rRNA". It matches the Rfam family "Bacterial small subunit ribosomal RNA", at positions 355 to 774 of the family's 1533-position model. Lineage: Bacteria; Bacillati; Actinomycetota; Actinomycetes; Micrococcales; Cellulomonadaceae. The record is from RNAcentral.